This 311-nucleotide long non-coding RNA is filed under the name Hordeum vulgare. RNAcentral describes it as "long non-coding RNA (HVUL_LNC014145)". Lineage: Eukaryota; Viridiplantae; Streptophyta; Magnoliopsida; Poales; Poaceae. The record is from RNAcentral.
AUCUUAUGUUUAUCUUGGGCUACACCAAAAAGCAUAGGCCCUGAGCCAAUUCUUACAUAGGCUUUGUGGUAGUGGCACUCAGCAGAAGGCGUGUGUUCCAAAACACUAGUAAAUGAGGCAUAAAUUAUUGGGUUCAUCGUCUCUCUCUAAAAAUACAAUUUUUUCAUCUACUGGAUCCCACUUUUUUGCCUCUCCUGCCCCUUCUUCACGGAAAUUUACCCUCUCCUUCAGAUUGCCGAACAAACCUCUUCCUGCAACAUCAGUUACCGACACCUUUAGCUGGAAAAAACUAGCUCAUGUUACUGGCUCCG